CCUACGGGAGGCAGCAGUGAGGAAUAUUGGUCAAUGGCCGCAAGUCUGAACCAGCCAUGCCGCGUGCAGGAAGAAGGCUCUCUGAGUUGUAAACUGCUUUUGUACGAGGGUAAACGCAGAUACGCGUAUCUGUCUGAAAGUAUCGUACGAAUAAGGAUCGGCUAACUCCGUGCCAGCAGCCGCGGUAAUACGGAGGAUUCAAGCGUUAUCCGGAUUUAUUGGGGUUAAAGGGUGCGUAGGCGGUCGGAUAAGUUAGAGGUGAAAUCCCGAGGCUCAACUUCGGAAUUGCCUCGGAUACUGGUCGGCUAGAGAGUAGGAGCGGUAGGCGGAAUGUAUGGUGUAGCGGUGAAAUGCUUAGAGAUCAGACAGAAAACCGAUUGCGAAGGCAGCGUACCAAGCGACUUCUGACGUUGAGGCACGAAAGCGUGGGGAGCAAACAGGAUUAGAUACCCGUGUAGUC
RNAcentral lists this ribosomal RNA (460 nucleotides) under uncultured bacterium. RNAcentral's name for it is "partial 16S ribosomal RNA". It matches the Rfam family "Bacterial small subunit ribosomal RNA", at positions 338 to 795 of the family's 1533-position model. The record is from RNAcentral.